RNAcentral lists this ribosomal RNA (1228 nucleotides) under Paravelia bullialata. RNAcentral's name for it is "partial 16S ribosomal RNA". The stretch from base 1043 to 1202 matches the Rfam family "Archaeal large subunit ribosomal RNA", at positions 2544 to 2703 of the family's 2987-position model. The record is from RNAcentral. Lineage: Eukaryota; Metazoa; Arthropoda; Insecta; Hemiptera; Veliidae.
GAAAAAAUUGCUGAUUUUGUUGUGCAGUUCAUCAUGGUUUGAAGUGAUAAAUUUAUUUUAAUUUUUUUUUUUAUUUAAUAAAAAUAUUUUUGUUUUUAGUAUUUUAGAAUUAAUAUAUUUUAAUUAUAAUUUAUUUUACUGUAAAGGUUAUUUUAAUUAAUAUAAAGUAUUUUUUUGAAGUACCUUUUGCAUCAGGGUUUAUUAAUUUAAUAAAGUUAUUCUUUUUUUCCCGAAAUUUUAAGAUUUAAGUUAAAAUGUUUUUUAUUGUUUUAUAAAUAUUUACAAUUUUAUCUUAGAGGUUAAAUGCUUUUCAAUUAAGAUGAUAUCUGGUUUUUUAAUAAUUGAAUUUAAUUCAUCCUAGAUUAUUGUUUAUUUUAAAUUUAAUUAAUUAAAAUUUUUCUAGGUAAGUGUUUUGGGGAUAAUCUCAAAUUGUUUAUUAAAAAUUUUUUUUGUAAGAUUUUUUAUAGGAUUGAUAAUUUCUAUUUUUAUUUUGUUAUAAUAAAUUUUCUUUUUUUAGGAUUUAUAAUUUUUUAGUUUUUUAUUAAAAAUUUUUUUUUAAUUUUUUAUUUUAAGUUAUUAUGAUAAAAUUAGUAAUUUUUUUAAUUUAUUUAUUGGAACUCGGCAAAUAUAAUUUUCACCUGUUUAACAAAAACAUGGUUUUUUGAUUUUAAUUUAAGAUCAGGCCUGCCCGUUGAUUAUAAAUAUUGAAAGGCUGCGGUAUUUUAACUGUACGAAGGUAGCAUAAUCAUUUGUCUUUUAAUUGAAGGCUAGUAUGAAUGGUUUGAUGAAAUAUUAACUUUCAUUAAUUAAUUAAUUUGAAUUUAAUUUUAUAGUUAAAAAUCUAUAAUUUUUUUAUAGGACGAGAAGACCCUAUAGAAAUUGAUUAUUUUUAUAAAAUAUUAUUUUUUGUUUUUAAUUGUUUUUUUAGAAUGAAUAAUUUUGUUGGGGCGACAGUGAAAUUUUAUUAACUUUUAAUUUAUUGAUUCAUUAAUUUAUGUUUUUUGAUCCAGAAUUUUUGAUUAUAAGAUUAAUUUACCUUAGGGAUAACAGCGUAAUUUUUUCGGAGAGUUCUUAUUGAUGAACAAGUUUGCGACCUCGAUGUUGAAUUAAGAUUAGAUUUAGGUGGAAAGUUUUAAUUUUCUUGGUCUGUUCGACCAUUAAUUUCUUACAUGAUUUGAGUUAAGACCGGCGUGAGCCAGGUCGGUUUCUAUCCUUAAUUUUAUAUAAG